RNAcentral lists this ribosomal RNA (254 nucleotides) under uncultured bacterium. Its description in RNAcentral is "partial 16S ribosomal RNA". It matches the Rfam family "Bacterial small subunit ribosomal RNA", at positions 524 to 776 of the family's 1533-position model. The record is from RNAcentral.
CACGUAGGGGGCGAGCGUUGUCCGGAUUUAUUGGGCGUAAAGAGCUCGUAGGCGGCUCAGUAAGUCGGGUGUGAAAACUCCAGGCUCAACCUGGAGACGCCACCUGAUACUGCUGUGGCUAGAGUCCGGUAGGGGAGCAUGGAAUUCCUGGUGUAGCGGUGAAAUGCGCAGAUAUCAGGAGGAACACCAGUGGCGAAGGCGACUACCUGGCCUGUUCUUGACGCUGAGGCGCGAAAGCUAGGGGAGCAAACGGG